RNAcentral lists this non-coding RNA (22 nucleotides) under Rattus norvegicus (Norway rat). Lineage: Eukaryota; Metazoa; Chordata; Mammalia; Rodentia; Muridae. The record is from RNAcentral.
UGGAGGCUAAUAGGUGCCAGGU